Odobenus rosmarus divergens (Pacific walrus) is the source of this 1956-nucleotide RNA transcript. It is a transcript of the gene named double-strand-break repair protein rad21 homolog, with no coding region annotated. Lineage: Eukaryota; Metazoa; Chordata; Mammalia; Carnivora; Odobenidae. The transcript has a single exon. The record is from RefSeq and is a predicted model, not a curated record.
UCCCCCUCCCCAGGCCACCCAGCCCGCCCAGCUCCCGGCGGAGAGCAAGGUUUCCUCCUGUUUCAUAAUCAGCCGGAACAAUGUUCUACGCACACUUUGUCCUCAGUAAGAGAGGGCCUCUGGCCAAAAUUUGGCUAGCAGCCCAUUGGGAUAAGAAGCUAACCAAAGCCCAUGUGUUUGAGUGUAAUUUAGAGAGCAGUGUAGAGAGUAUCAUCUUACCAAAGGUGAAGAUGGCACUCCGAACACCAGGACAUCUCUUACUGGGAGUAGUUCAAAUCUAUCAUAGAAAAGCCAAAUACCUGCUUGCAGACUGUAAUGAAGCAUUCAUUAAGAUAAAGAUGGCUUUUCGGCCAGGUGUUGUUGACCUGCCUGAGGACAAUCGAGAAACUGCUUACAAUGCUAUUACCUUACCUGAAGAAUUUCAUGACUUUGAUCAGCCACUGCCUGACUUAGAUGACAUCGAUGUGGCCCAGCAGUUCAGCCUGAACCAGAGUAGAGUGGAAGAAAUAACCAUGAGAGAAGAAGUUGGGAACAUCAGUAUUCUACAAGAAAAUGAUUUUGGUGACUUUGGAAUGGAUGAUCGUGAGAUCAUGAGAGAAGGAAGUGCUUUUGAGGAUGAUGACAUGUUAGUGAGCACAAGCGCUUCUAACCUCCUGUUAGAGCCUGAACAGAGCACCAGCAAUCUGAAUGAGAAAAUUAAUCAUUUAGAAUAUGAAGACCAAUAUAAAGAUGACAAUUUUGGAGAAGGAAAUGAUGGUGGUAUAUUAGACGACAAACAUAAGUAAUAAUGAUGGUGGUAUCUUUGACGACCCCCCCGCCCUGUCAGAGGCAGGUGUGACAUUGACAGAACAGCCUGCACAUGAUGAUAUGGACGAGGAUGAGAAUGUAUCAAUGGGUGGGCCUGAUAGUCCUGAUUCAGUGGAUCCUGUUGAACCAAUGCCAACUAUGACUGAUCAGACAACACUUGUUCCAAAUGAAGAAGAAGCCUUUGCUUUGGAACCUAUUGAUAUCACUGUCAAAGAAACAAAAUCCAAGAGGAAGAGGAAGCUGAUUGUUGACAGUGUCAAAGAGCUGGAUAGUAAGACAAUUAGAGCCCAACUUAGUGAUUAUUCUGGUAUUGUUACUACUUUGGAUCUGGCACCACCCACCAAGAAAUUGAUGAUGUGGAAAGAGACAGGGGGAGUGGAAAAACUCUUCUCCUUACCUGCUCAGCCUUUAUGGAAUAAUAGACUACUGAAGCUCUUUACCCGCUGUCUUAUACCACUAGUACCAGAAGAUCUUAGAAAAAGGAGGAAAGGAGGAGAGGCUGAUAAUGUGGAUGAAUUCCUCAAGGAAUUUGAAAAUCCGGAGGUUCCCAGAGAGGAUCAGCAGCAGCAGCACCAGCAGGGUGAUGUUAUCGAUGAGCCCAUUUUGGAAGAGCCAAGCCGCCUCCAGGAAUCAGUGAUGGAGACCAGCAGAACAAACUUGGAUGAGUCAGCCAUGGCUCCACCACCUCCUCAGGGAGUCAAGCGAAAAGCAGGACAAAUUGACCCAGAGCCUGUGAUCCCUCCCCAGCAGGUAGAGCAGGUGGAAAUACCCCCUGUAGAACUGCCCCCUGAGGAGCCUCCAAAUAUCUGUCAGUUAAUUCCGGAGUUAGAACUUCUACCAGAGAAAGAGGAGGAGAAAGAGAAGGAGAAAGAAGAUGAUGAAGAGGAGGACGAAGAUGCUUCCGGAGGUGAUCAGGAUCAAGAAGGAAGAAGAUGGAACAAAAGGACUCAGCAGAUGCUUCAUGGGCUUCAGCGAGCUCUUGCUAAAACUGGAGCUGAAUCCAUCAGUUUGCUUGAGUUAUGUGGAAACACAAACAGAAAGCAAGCUGCAGCAAAGUUCUACAGCUUCUUGGUUCUUGAAAAGCUGAUGCAGGAAGAACCAUAGAGUGACAUCACUGCAACACCUGGACCAAGGUUCCACAUUAUUUGA